UACGGGGGGGAGCAAGCGUUGUUCGGAUUUACUGGGCGUAAAGGGCGCGUAGGCGGCGUGACAAGUCACUUGUGAAAUCCCCGGGCUCAACCUGGGAAUUGCAGUCGAGACUGUUCGGCUAGAGUGUGGGAGAGGGUGGUGGAAUUCCCGGUGUAGCGGUGAAAUGCGUAGAUAUCGGGAGGAACAUCAGUGGCGAAGGCGACCACCUGGCCCAACACUGACGCUGAGGUGCGAAAGCGUGGGUAGCAAACAGG
RNAcentral lists this ribosomal RNA (254 nucleotides) under uncultured bacterium. RNAcentral describes it as "partial 16S ribosomal RNA". It matches the Rfam family "Bacterial small subunit ribosomal RNA", at positions 524 to 776 of the family's 1533-position model. The record is from RNAcentral.